RNAcentral lists this long non-coding RNA (344 nucleotides) under Centruroides sculpturatus (bark scorpion). Its description in RNAcentral is "uncharacterized LOC111620589". The record is from RNAcentral. Lineage: Eukaryota; Metazoa; Arthropoda; Arachnida; Scorpiones; Buthidae.
UGUAAAUUUAUAUUGUAGAAGUUAUGUAAAUUCGUAUUAUAUUGUCAAUGCUUAUCAAAGGAAAUAAGGAUUUAGUAAAACAGAUUUAUGAGUAAAAAGCAUAAUCAAUUGUAUACCAAUUUGAUAAUUGUUGUCUAAGGUAUAUUUUAGAUCAAGGAUUUUGUAAGACUGUUUUAUAAGUAAAAGGUAUAAUCAAUUUUGUACAGUACAACCUUAAUAACAGCCGUACUCAAGUAGGCUACAAGAAAAAAUACUGUGAAUAAGCUGAUGUUGCUGAAAAAAUAUCGAAAGUAAACUGCUACUUUAAUUUAUAAGACUUGUAUGGAUAGUUGACUGAAGAGGGG